GGGGAUUUAGCUCAGUGGUAGAGCACUUGCUUAGCAAGCAUGAGGUCCUGGGUUCAGUCCUCA
Molecule: transfer RNA, 63 nt
Filed under: Neotoma lepida (desert woodrat)
Lineage: Eukaryota; Metazoa; Chordata; Mammalia; Rodentia; Cricetidae
Rfam family: tRNA
About the family: Transfer RNA (tRNA) molecules are approximately 80 nucleotides in length. Their secondary structure includes four short double-helical elements and three loops (D, anti-codon, and T loops).
Source: Rfam by way of RNAcentral